RNAcentral lists this ribosomal RNA (253 nucleotides) under uncultured bacterium. RNAcentral describes it as "partial 16S ribosomal RNA". It matches the Rfam family "Bacterial small subunit ribosomal RNA", at positions 524 to 776 of the family's 1533-position model. The record is from RNAcentral.
UACGGAGGGUGCGAGCGUUAAUCGGAAUUACUGGGCUUAAAGCGCACGUAGGCGGUCAGGCAAGUCGGGUGUGAAAGCCCUGGGCUCAACCUGGGAAUUGCAUUCGAAACUAUCUGACUCGAGUAUGGGAGAGGGAAGCGGAAUUUCCGGUGUAGCGGUGAAAUGCGUAGAUAUCGGAAGGAACACCAGUGGCGAAGGCGGCUUCCUGGACUAAUACUGACGCUGAGGUGCGAAAGCGUGGGGAGCAAACAGG